This 451-nucleotide ribosomal RNA is filed under the name uncultured bacterium. RNAcentral describes it as "bacterial SSU rRNA". It matches the Rfam family "Bacterial small subunit ribosomal RNA", at positions 64 to 507 of the family's 1533-position model. The record is from RNAcentral.
GAGCGGAUGAGAAGAGCUUGCUCUUCGAUUGAGCGGCGGACGGGUGAGUAAUGCCUAGGAAUCUGCCUGGUAGUGGGGGACAACGUUUCGAAAGGAUCGCUAAUACCGCAUACGUCCUACGGGAGAAAGUCAGGGGACCUUCGGGCCUUGCGCUAUCAGAUGAGCCUAGAUCGGAUUAGCUAGUUGGUGGGGUAAUGGCUCACCUAGGCGACGAUCCGUAUCUGGUCUGAGAGGAUGAUCAGCCACACUGGAACUGAGACACGGUCCAGACUCAUACGGGAGGCAGCAGUGGGGAAUAUUGCACAAUGGGCGCAAGCCUGAUCCAGCCAUGCCGCGUGUAUGAAGAAGGCCUUCGGCUUGUAAAGCACCUUUAUGUGGGGAGGAAGGUCUUCUAGUCUAAUACUCUUCACUUUUGACGUUACUUACAGAAUAAGCACCGGCUAACUCUGUG